AGAGUUUGAUCCUGGCUCAGGACGAACGCUGGCGGCGUGCUUAACACAUGCAAGUCGAACGGAAAGGCCCUGCUUUUGUGGGGUGCUCGAGUGGCGAACGGGUGAGUAACACGUGAGUAACCUGCCCUUGACUUUGGGAUAACUUCAGGAAACUGGGGCUAAUACCGGAUAGGAGCUCCUGCUGCAUGGUGGGGUUGGAAAGUUUCGGCGGUUGGGGAUGGACUCGCGGCUUAUCAGCUUGUUGGUGGGGUAGUGGCUUACCAAGGCUUUGACGGGUAGCCGGCCUGAGAGGGUGACCGGCCACAUUGGGACUGAGAUACGGCCCAGACCCCUACGGGAGGCAGCAGUGGGGAAUAUUGCACAAUGGGCGGAAGCCUGAUGCAGCAACGCCGCGUGCGGGAUGACGGCCUUCGGGUUGUAAACCGCUUUCGCCUGUGACGAAGCGUGAGUGACGGUAAUGGGUAAAGAAGCACCGGCUAACUACGUG
RNAcentral lists this ribosomal RNA (487 nucleotides) under uncultured Propionibacterium sp. RNAcentral describes it as "bacterial SSU rRNA". It matches the Rfam family "Bacterial small subunit ribosomal RNA", at positions 8 to 507 of the family's 1533-position model. Lineage: Bacteria; Bacillati; Actinomycetota; Actinomycetes; Propionibacteriales; Propionibacteriaceae. The record is from RNAcentral.